This is a long non-coding RNA of Falco peregrinus (peregrine falcon), 540 nucleotides long. RefSeq lists it as uncharacterized. The transcript has 3 exons. The record is from RefSeq and is a predicted model, not a curated record. NCBI's taxonomy places the organism in Eukaryota, Metazoa, Chordata, Aves, Falconiformes, Falconidae.
ACCCCAGAGCAGCAGGCGAUGCAUGGCGAGGGGUGCAGUGAGCACGGGCAGCCUGCCUGCCUGCUGGGAGCGAGCCAGCCACGUUGCAUGGUGUGCUGGAUACCAAUAGGGUAAUCAGCACAUAAGCUGCUAAUUAAAAUAUAAGUACACUGCUCUGAGAAGGUGCUUGUGCAAUGGACCUUGAAAUGCACUGUUUGCAUAGUUGAUGAGAGGCAGUUAAUGCUCUACAGUAACUCUGCGUGGCACAUGUGGAAGCCCACGGGGCUGCCCUGCUGCUGCUGGCUCCCCGACCUGGUGCUCCUUGUGCAGCCCCGGAGGAAGCCCUGGGCUCCUACCUGGCUUCUUCCCAGCAGCCGCAGCCCUUGUGGCAGAGUAGGGGAAGGAGAGACGUGUACCUGGCCCUGGCUGAUGCUCUCUUUGCAGCAGGUGGAAGGAGAGCAUUGUAUUUCUUACCACUAGCCACAGAAGGGCUGAAACUAAACUGAACCAAGAAGCUGAAUCUGGUUGCCACAAGCUGGGAAGACCUGGUGAGGAGGCACG